UACGUAGGGGGCAAGCGUUGUCCGGAAUCAUUGGGCGUAAAGAGCGUGUAGGCGGCCCGGUAAGUCCGCUGUGAAAGUCCAGGGUUCAACCCUGGGAUGCCGGUGGAUACUGUCGGGCUCGAGUCCGGAAGAGGAGUGUGGAAUUCCUGGUGUAGCGGUGAAAUGCGCAGAUAUCAGGAGGAACACCAAUGGCGAAGGCGGCCUUCUGGACGAUGACUGACGCUGAGACGCGAAAGCGUGGGGAGCAAACAGG
Molecule: ribosomal RNA, 253 nt
Filed under: uncultured bacterium
Lineage: Bacteria
Description: partial 16S ribosomal RNA
Rfam family: Bacterial small subunit ribosomal RNA
Source: RNAcentral